Molecule: long non-coding RNA, 3080 nt
Organism: Gorilla gorilla gorilla (western lowland gorilla)
Lineage: Eukaryota; Metazoa; Chordata; Mammalia; Primates; Hominidae
Exons: 16
Source: RefSeq, a predicted model, not a curated record
GGGUUAGGGUUUUAGGCUCAGGGCCCAGGGUUAGGGUUUUAGGGUCAGGACCCAGGGUUAGGGUUUUAGGGUCAUGGCCCAGGGUUAGGGUUUUAGGGUCAGGGCCCAGGGUUAGGGUGAUUUCCAGGAAGUGACCUCACAGUGACUCAAGCUACCACUUACUGUUGAUUGUGAUGAAAUGCCAGCUGAGGCACAUGCCUUGGGAGCUAAGUGGUUGCUGCCCUUGACUACUAUGAAGACUGGUGUGGGAAGGGUCGCUUUGGAUGCACUUGAGCAGGGGUCCCCCAUCCCUGAGCCAUGGAGCCGUAAGGAGCCACACAGCAGGUGGGACCAUCCAGUUUCAGGAAAACAAGCUUAACACGCCCACUGAUUCUACAUUAUGCUCCUACCUCCCGGCAGCCUCGCCAGGCCCAGAACUCUCUCCAGUCAGCCUCUACAGACCAAGCUCAUGACUCACAAUGGCCUAUUUAGGCCCAUACCCUACCUCACGGCAGUCUCCGCAGAUGAGCCUACUGCCUCACAACAGCCUCCACAGGCACAGCUCCAUCGUUACAAUGGCCUCUUUAGACCCAGCUCCUGCCACCCAGCCUUCUCUCCAGGCCCUGAACUUUCUCCGUGGGACCACCCAGUUUCAGGAAAACAAGCUUAACACGCCCACUGAUUCUACAUUAUGCUCCUACCUCCCGGCAGCCUCGCCAGGCCCAGAACUCUCUCCAGUCAGCCUCUACAGACCAAGCUCAUGACUCACAAUGGCCUAUUUAGGCCCAUACCCUACCUCACGGCAGUCUCCGCAGAUGAGCCUACUGCCUCACAACAGCCUCCACAGGCACAGCUCCAUCGUUACAAUGGCCUCUUUAGACCCAGCUCCUGCCACCCAGCCUUCUCUCCAGGCCCUGAACUUUCUCCGUGGGACCAUCCAGUUUCAGGAAAACAAGCUUAACACGCCCACUGAUUCUACAUUAUGCUCCUACCUCCCGGCAGCCUCGCCAGGCCCAGAACUCUCUCCAGUCAGCCUCUACAGACCAAGCUCAUGACUCACAAUGGCCUAUUUAGGCCCAUACCCUACCUCACGGCAGUCUCUGCAGAUGAGCCUACUGCCUCACAACAGCCUCCACAGGCACAGCUCCAUCGUUACAAUGGCCUCUUUAGACCCAGCUCCUGCCGCCCAGCCUUCUCUCCAGGCCCUGAACUUUCUCCGUGGGACCAUCCAGUUUCAGGAAAACAAGCUUAACACGCCCACUGAUUCUACAUUAUGCUCCUACCUCCCGGCAGCCUCGCCAGGCCCAGAACUCUCUCCAGUCAGCCUCUACAGACCAAGCUCAUGACUCACAAUGGCCUAUUUAGGCCCAUACCCUACCUCACGGCAGUCUCCGCAGAUGAGCCUACUGCCUCACAACAGCCUCCACAGGCACAGCUCCAUCGUUACAAUGGCCUCUUUAGACCCAGCUCCUGCCGCCCAGCCUUCUCUCCAGGCCCUGAACUUUCUCCGUGGGACCACCCAGUUUCAGGAAAACAAGCUUAACACGCCCACUGAUUCUACAUUAUGCUCCUACCUCCCGGCAGCCUCGCCAGGCCCAGAACUCUCUCCAGUCAGCCUCUACAGACCAAGCUCAUGACUCACAAUGGCCUAUUUAGGCCCAUACCCUACCUCACGGCAGUCUCUGCAGAUGAGCCUACUGCCUCACAACAGCCUCCACAGGCACAGCUCCAUCGUUACAAUGGCCUCUUUAGACCCAGCUCCUGCCACCCAGCCUUCUCUCCAGGCCCUGAACUUUCUCCGUGGGACCACCCAGUUUCAGGAAAACAAGCUUAACACGCCCACUGAUUCUACAUUAUGCUCCUACCUCCCGGCAGCCUCGCCAGGCCCAGAACUCUCUCCAGUCAGCCUCUACAGACCAAGCUCAUGACUCACAAUGGCCUAUUUAGGCCCAUACCCUACCUCACGGCAGUCUCUGCAGAUGAGCCUACUGCCUCACAACAGCCUCCACAGGCACAGCUCCAUCGUUACAAUGGCCUCUUUAGACCCAGCUCCUGCCGCCCAGCCUUCUCUCCAGGCCCUGAACUUUCUCCGGUCUCCCUCUGUUGUCCGAGGCUGGAGGGUAGUAGUGCUAUCGUAGCUGACUGCAGCCUCAACCUUCCAGGCUGAAGCGAUCCUCCCAUCUCAACCUCCCACGUGGCUGAGACUACAGGUGCUUGCCACUAUGCCCAACUAAUAUUUGGUAUUUUCGUAUACGUGGAUUCCAGAGGGGUGACAGCGAAACGUGGGACCAUCCCGUUUCAGGAAAACAAGCUUAACACGCCCACUGAUUCUACAUUAUGAUUCUUCAGGCCCAGCAUCUGCCUCACUGUGGACCCCCCAAGCCAAGCUCCCAACCUUUCAGCAGCUUCUACACACCCAGCUCCCGCCUGCCAGUGGCCUCUUCAGGCCCAUGGGGCUCAUUCCUCACAACAGCCUUUCCAGUCCCAGUUUUUCCCUUCCGGCGGCCUCUCCGGGCUGAGAACCUCCUCAAGUCGGCCUCUCCAGACUCACUUGCACCCUCCAGGCGUCCUCUCCGGGCCAAGCUCCUCUUCCUGGCUGCGUCUCCAGGCCCGACUCCUGCCUCUCAACAACCUCUUUGGACUCAGUGCCUACCCAUCUCCUGGCGUCCUUGGUCGGCCCACAGCUUCCUCAAGCCAAGCUCCCCAGGCCCAGGUCAGGCCUCACGGUGCCCCCUCCACGAUGAGCUCCUGCCCUCCAAUGGCACCUGCAGGACCCAAAUGGUCUCCGGUCGGUGGGCUCCUCCACGCCAAGCUUGGGCCUCCCGGUGACCUCUGCAGGCCCAAGUUGUCCUGAAGUCGGCAUCUCCCAGCCAUGCCUCCCAGCAAGUAAGCAAGCUCUUUUGGCUCAACUCCUGCCCAGCUCCCAACCGCCUUUGUAGGUCCCGAACUUUCUCCAGCCAAGUUCUUUGGGCCUCAUUCCUGCCGCCCGGUGGCCUGUACGGGCCCAGCAAUGGUUGGAGAACGGCCUCUGCAGGUCCCGCUCUUGCCUCCCAGGGGCCUCUCCAGGCCCAGCUCUUGCCCCCACGGCGGCCACCUGGGGC